CUAUUCAUUCAAAGAGUGCGUAACAGCUCACUAGUCGAGCGGCAAAGCGUGGAUAAUAAACGGGCAUCAAGUAUACCACCGAAGUUCUGGGCACGAAAGUGCGGUAGGGGAGCAUUCCAUUCCGCGUUGAAGCCGAACCGUGAGGUUUGGUGGAGUGUAUGGAAAAGCAAAUGUAGGCAUGAGUAACGAUAAUGCGGGAGAGUAACCCGCACACCGCAAGACCAAGGUUUCCUGAUCAACGCUAAUCGGAUCAGGGUUAGUCGGGUCCUAAGGGUAAGCCGAACGGUGAUCUCGAUGGAUAAUCGGUUAAUAUUCCGAUACUGACAUAUACCUCGAUGGAGAGACGAAGGAACGUAAGUGCCGCCACCUGACGGAAUAGGUGGUUAAAGGGCUUAGGUAUAGGGACAGAUUAAGAGUUAGUCCUUGCUGAAACCUGACAGUACAGAGAGCCUACGGGCAAUUUGAUAGUGCACCCAAGUCGACUUCCGAGAAAAUCUUCUAAGUUAUAGUAUAUGUCACCCGUACCGUAAACCGACACAGGUGGUCGAGGAGAGUAUCCUAAGGUGCUCGAGUGAAUCACGGUUAAGGAACUAGGCAAAUUAACCCCGUAACUUCGGGAAAAGGGGUCCCAUCGCGAGGUGGGCGCAGCGAAGAGGUCCAGGCGACUGUUUAUCAAAAACACAGGGCUCUGCAAAUUCGAAAGAAGACGUAUAGGGCCUGACACCUGCCCGGUGCUGGAAGGUUAAGAGGGGAUGUCAUCGCAAGAGAAGCAUUGAAUCGAAGCCCCAGUAAACGGCGGCCGUAACUAUAACGGUCCUAAGGUAGCGAAAUUCCUUGUCGGGUAAGUUCCGACCUGCACGAAUGGUGUAACGAUCUGGACACUGUCUCAACCGUGAGCUCGGUGAAAUUGUAGUCCCGGUGAUGAUGCCGGGUACCCGCAACGGGACGAAAAGACCCCGUGAACCUUUACUAUAGCUUAACGCUGAAUUUGGGUACACAAUGUGUAGGAUAGGCAGGAGACUACGAAGCGGGCACGCCAGUGUUCGUGGAGUCGACGUUGAAAUACUGCCCUUUGUGUACUUGAGUUCUAACCCUCGAGAGGGGACACCGUUUGGUGGGUAGUUUGACUGGGGUGGUCGC
Molecule: ribosomal RNA, 1140 nt
Filed under: human gut metagenome
Description: bacterial LSU rRNA
Rfam family: Bacterial large subunit ribosomal RNA
Source: RNAcentral